UCCAGACUCCUACGGGAGGCAGCAGUGAGGAAUAUUGGUCAAUGGCCGUAAGGCUGAACCAGCCAAGUAGCGUGAGGGAAGACUGCCCUAUGGGUUGUAAACCUCUUUUAUGCGGGGAUAAAGGUGUCCACGUGUGGAUGUUUGCAGGUACCGCAUGAAUAAGGACCGGCUAAUUCCGUGCCAGCAGCCGCGGUAAUACGGAAGGUCCGGGCGUUAUCCGGAUUUAUUGGGUUUAAAGGGAGCGUAGGCCGGUCUUUAAGCGUGCCGUGAAAUUUUGUGGCUCAACCAUGAGAGUGCGGCGCGAACUGGAGACCUUGAGUGCGCGGAAGGCAGGCGGAAUUCGUGGUGUAGCGGUGAAAUGCUUAGAUAUCAGGAGGAACAUCGGUGGCGUAAGCGCUUUACUGGGCCGUAAUUGACGCUGAGGAACGAAAGCCAGGGUAGCAAAUGGGAUUAGAUACCCGGGUAA
This 466-nucleotide ribosomal RNA is filed under the name uncultured bacterium. Its description in RNAcentral is "bacterial SSU rRNA". It matches the Rfam family "Bacterial small subunit ribosomal RNA", at positions 330 to 793 of the family's 1533-position model. The record is from RNAcentral.